GCCGAAGUGGUGAAAUUGGUAGACACGCUAUCUUGAGGGGGUAGUGACCUUUGGUCGUGCCGGUUCAAGUCCGGCCUUCGGCACCA
This 86-nucleotide transfer RNA is filed under the name SAR86 cluster bacterium. Its description in RNAcentral is "tRNA-Leu". It matches the Rfam family "tRNA". Rfam says of the family: Transfer RNA (tRNA) molecules are approximately 80 nucleotides in length. The record is from RNAcentral. Lineage: Bacteria; Pseudomonadati; Pseudomonadota; Gammaproteobacteria.